CAUGAUGCUAGAUCAGACAGUCCCUUGAACCUACUGUCUUGCCUCUUCGGAGUUACAGAAUGACUCUAGGAUCUGGACAGGCAUGCUGCAGUACUUUCCCAGUUCAGAACAAAUGAGCAGAAGAACGUUCAGUGCUAGCAGUAGUAGCAGGUUCACUUGGUAGCAUUUACAUCCAAAGUCAUGGGUUUGCUGGCAUGGGUAAUCUCAUUAAGGUGCUAACCAGGGACAUAGACCACAAUGCAGCACAUUUUUUCUUGGAUUUUGAAAGUAAGUCUCUCAGCCCUUCACAGCUGGUGCAUUUGAAAUGGUAUGAAGAGGGUUGCUUAUACCUGCUGCAAUGAAGGCUAGG
This 349-nucleotide long non-coding RNA is filed under the name Gallus gallus (chicken). RNAcentral's name for it is "long non-coding RNA NONGGAT004589". The record is from RNAcentral. Lineage: Eukaryota; Metazoa; Chordata; Aves; Galliformes; Phasianidae.